GGUUAGCAGCUUUGUUGUCCAUGGUAAAACUUGGGGUGAGCAAGUUAUUUAAAUGUUGAAUCCUUCACUCAAGCGCAGAUACUUUUUCUAUUGUUUUGCAGGAGGUCAUUUUCCCAUAUCUCUAUCAGCUUGCUUAGUAAUAUCCUGCAUUUGCUAAUGGCGGAACGUUAAAGAACGCGACACGUUUUGUGGAAAUCUUGUAGAAUUCAACCAAUCCGAUGACGACUUCGACACUUCUGAAGUGUUUCCACUUUUGUGUCCUAUAUGCAUCAGACCUGCAGCCAACGGUCCGUGGGUGUGACGGCUGAGGCUGAGACUAGUGGCCCUCCAGCAGCAUGAUUAGAGACCAUUCAUUGGUGGCUUUGAUGCUUGAAAGUCAGACCAAAACCUAUCUUCAAAGACCAAGGAAGCCAGAGUUUAAGGUCAUCUGUGACCUGAAGAAGUGAAAAUGCAUGUGCCCUGUUUAUCAUCUUACCUCUUGUUUGUUGUAAGCGUCUGCAUUGGGUGCGAAGACUGUGAAGGGACCACGACUUCCAAGUUCAGGGUGCCUUUGCAAAUUUCUCCAUUUCCAAUAAAACCAGGCCCACAAGUGCAGUUCCUUUCCAGGGGUCCUGUCAUGGUACAUUGGGCAUACCUGUGACAUCCUCCGUUUUUCUGACAGAAAAUAAGUAAUAGUAGUACCAUGCUAUUCAUGUUAAUCUUUGAGCU
Cyprinus carpio (common carp) is the source of this 708-nucleotide long non-coding RNA. RefSeq lists it as uncharacterized. The transcript is spliced from 6 exons. Lineage: Eukaryota; Metazoa; Chordata; Actinopteri; Cypriniformes; Cyprinidae. The record is from RefSeq and is a predicted model, not a curated record.